RNAcentral lists this ribosomal RNA (576 nucleotides) under Coniella castaneicola. RNAcentral's name for it is "eukaryotic LSU rRNA". The stretch from base 218 to 371 matches the Rfam family "5.8S ribosomal RNA". Lineage: Eukaryota; Fungi; Ascomycota; Sordariomycetes; Diaporthales; Schizoparmaceae. The record is from RNAcentral.
AGGGAUCAUUGCUGGAACUGUGUCCGCAAGGACACAACCCCAGAUACCCUUUGUGAACUUAUUCUUAUAUCGUUGCCUCGGCGCUGAGCUGGGGGCUUCUUUCCAAGGAGCUCUCCCAUGGUCUCUCGGGACGAUGGAGCAAGCCCGCCGGCGGCCCUUCUAAACUCUUGUUUUUAUUACGUAUCUCUUCUGAGUUAUUCAAAACAAAAUGAAUCAAAACUUUCAACAACGGAUCUCUUGGUUCUGGCAUCGAUGAAGAACGCAGCGAAAUGCGAUAAGUAAUGUGAAUUGCAGAAUUCAGUGAAUCAUCGAAUCUUUGAACGCACAUUGCGCCCGCUGGAAUUCCAGCGGGCAUGCCUGUUCGAGCGUCAUUUCACCCCUCAAGCCUUGCUUGGUGUUGGAGCACUACCGUUUGUAUAAAGCGGUAGGCUCUGAAAUUCAGUGGCGGGCUCGCUAAGACUCUGAGCGUAGUAGUUUAUCACCUCGCUUUGGAAGGAUUAGCGGUGCUCUUGCCGUAAAACCCCCCAACUUCUGAAUUUUGACCUCGGAUCAGGUAGGAAUACCCGCUGAACUUAA